GAUGAAGAACGUAGCGAAAUGCGAUAAGUAAUAUGAAUUGCAGAUUUUCGUGAAUCAUCGAAUCUUUGAACGCACAUUGCGCCCUUUGGUAUUCCAAAGGGCAUGCCUGUUUGAGCGUCAUUUCUCUCUCAAAUCUUCGGAUUUGGUUUUGAGUGAUACUCUUAGUCAGACUAAGCGUUUGCUUGAAAUGUAUUGGCAUGAGUGGUACUAGAUAGUGCUGAACUGUUUUCAAUGUAUUAGGUUUAUCCAACUCGUUGACCAGUAAAGUAUUUGUUUAUUACACAGGCUCGGCCUUACAACAACAAACAAAGUUUGACCUCAAAUCAGGUAGGACUACCCGCUGAACUUAAGCAUAUCAAUAAGCGGAGGA
RNAcentral lists this unclassified non-coding RNA (370 nucleotides) under soil metagenome. RNAcentral describes it as "partial contains 5.8S ribosomal RNA, internal transcribed spacer 2, and large subunit ribosomal RNA". The stretch from base 1 to 120 matches the Rfam family "5.8S ribosomal RNA", at positions 35 to 154 of the family's 154-position model. The record is from RNAcentral.